This 66-nucleotide transfer RNA is filed under the name Marmota monax (woodchuck). Its description in RNAcentral is "tRNA.Val". It matches the Rfam family "tRNA". Rfam says of the family: Transfer RNA (tRNA) molecules are approximately 80 nucleotides in length. Their secondary structure includes four short double-helical elements and three loops (D, anti-codon, and T loops). Further hydrogen bonds mediate the characteristic L-shaped molecular structure. tRNAs have two regions of fundamental functional importance: the anti-codon, which is responsible for specific mRNA codon recognition, and the 3' end, to which the tRNAs corresponding amino acid is attached (by aminoacyl-tRNA synthetases). tRNAs cope with the degeneracy of the genetic code in two manners: having more than one tRNA (with a specific anti-codon) for a particular amino acid; and 'wobble' base-pairing, i.e. permitting non-standard base-pairing at the 3rd anti-codon position. The record is from RNAcentral. Lineage: Eukaryota; Metazoa; Chordata; Mammalia; Rodentia; Sciuridae.
GGUCAUGGCUCAGUGGUAGAGCAUUCACCUCACAUGUGCAAGCCCUGGGUUCGAUCCUCAGCACCA